RNAcentral lists this long non-coding RNA (1102 nucleotides) under Heterocephalus glaber (naked mole-rat). Its description in RNAcentral is "lncRNA (ENSHGLG00100033220.1)". The record is from RNAcentral. Lineage: Eukaryota; Metazoa; Chordata; Mammalia; Rodentia; Bathyergidae.
CAUCCAUGGCCCCUUUCCCCACUGAGAAGCGCUCAGCAUUGCUCAGGCCUCUCGGGGACACUUCUUUUCAGCACAGAUAACUCCAAGGGGCCACUAGCUCAGCCAUGGGCUGUCUGCUCCAUGUUACGACGGAGAAGUGUUUACCCACCACGGUGACCAGUGCUCAGAGACCAUGGUCCUCCUAGUGAGGAGCAGAGACCUGACCUAAGACACGUUGCAGAAUUCUUGGAACGAGAAAAAGAAAGGGACCCAUAACUAAGGCACUGAAAGCACAUUAUUUCGAUAAAGAAAUGUAAACAAUUUAACACCGACAGGCUCCCUUCAUUAGUCUUUACUGUAAGAGAACACAGGGGCUUCGCCUGAAGUCGGGUGAAAUGGGAAAUGCCGCCCUGUCUGCAGCAUUCAGUCCGGCUGCCCAUAAAUGAUUCCUCCAACAUCAGAUGAGAUCGGGUGCGUUCAGGGUGGGAUGGCUGGAGACCCAUGACUCUUGACAUGGUGCUGUAGAAGUCAUUUCAAAGCAACUUAAGUGGAAGCUGUUAUCACCCUAUCAUCUGCAUUUCAAGAACACAACAAAGAAGAAUUUUAUCAGGAACCUUAAAUGAUUAGGGUCUUCAAAACAUCUAGUCUUCAACCUUGUUCUUUGAAUUUUAGAAGUACUUUGUUUGGCCUGUGUCAUGAGAGGAGUCUGUCACCUCGCCAGAGCUCCUCUUGUGGGUUCAGAUUUUAAAUAAAAUGGUUCAUAUUAUGAGUAAGCCACACUUGGUAUACUUAAAACUUUUCAGAAUGGGAAAUCUGGCAAGUGGACAAAUAGCACUGUGAACAUUUCCCCUUCAAAGUACCACAAGUGCAGUAAGCAGGAAGCGCCUGUCUGCUCCGGGCGCAGCGGGGGACAGAGUGGCAGGGUGAUUCCUCAGGGCCGUCACAGCUACUGAAGCGACCUUCAUUUAUACUGCACAUUUCAGUAUCAAUCUUAACUAUUCUAAGCUCCAAAUCAUUAACUAUAUUUCUUUAAAAAAGUGGACUUUCAUGCAGCUAAAUUUAUGUGUACAUAAAUGCAACUGUAAUUUUUAAUAAGCCUUACUGUCAAAAAGGGACUUAUUUC